Molecule: unclassified non-coding RNA, 252 nt
Filed under: uncultured Halomonadaceae bacterium
Lineage: Bacteria; Pseudomonadati; Pseudomonadota; Gammaproteobacteria; Oceanospirillales; Halomonadaceae
Description: contains 16S-23S intergenic spacer region
Rfam family: Bacterial small subunit ribosomal RNA
Source: RNAcentral
UACGGAGGGUGCGAGCGUUAUUCGGAAUUACUGGGCGUAAAGCGCGUGUAGGCGGCGUGAUAAGCCGGUUGUGAAAGACCCGGGCUCAACCUGGGAACCGCAUCCGGAACUGUCAGGCUAGAGUGCAGGAGAGGAAGGUAGAAUUCCCGGUGUAGCGGUGAAAUGCGUAGAGAUCAGGAGGAAUGCCAGUGGCGAAGGCGGCCUUCUGGACUGACACUGACGCUGAGGUGCGAAAGUGUGGGAGCAAACAGG